CCUACGGGAGGCAGCAGUGGGGAAUAUUGGACAAUGGGGGCAACCCUGAUCCAGCCAUGCCGCGUGUGUGAAGAAGGCCCUCGGGUUGUAAAGCACUUUCAGUGAGGAAGAACGCCUGGUGGUUAAUACCCAUCAGGAAAGACAUCACUCACAGAAGAAGCACCGGCUAACUCCGUGCCAGCAGCCGCGGUAAUACGGAGGGUGCGAGCGUUAAUCGGAAUUACUGGGCGUAAAGCGCGCGUAGGUGGCUUGAUAAGCCGGUUGUGAAAGCCCCGGGCUCAACCUGGGAACGGCAUCCGGAACUGUCAAGCUAGAGUGCAGGAGAGGAAGGUAGAAUUCCCGGUGUAGCGGUGAAAUGCGUAGAGAUCGGGAGGAAUACCAGUGGCGAAGGCGGCCUUCUGGACUGACACUGACACUGGGGUGCGAAAGCGUGGGUAGCAAACAGGAUUAGAUACCCCAGUAGUC
This 465-nucleotide ribosomal RNA is filed under the name Vreelandella stevensii. RNAcentral's name for it is "partial 16S ribosomal RNA". It matches the Rfam family "Bacterial small subunit ribosomal RNA", at positions 338 to 795 of the family's 1533-position model. The record is from RNAcentral. Lineage: Bacteria; Pseudomonadati; Pseudomonadota; Gammaproteobacteria; Oceanospirillales; Halomonadaceae.